UAAUACCGUAUGUGGUCCAGAGACGAAUGAUUUAUCGUCAAGGGAUCGGCCCGCGUCGGAUUAGGUAGUUGGUGGGGUAAUGGCCUACCAAGCCGACGAUCCAUAGCUGGUCUGAGAGGAUGAUCAGCCACACUGGGACUGAAACACCGCCCCCACCCCUACGGCAGGCACCCGUGGGGAAUCUUAGACAAUGGGGGAAACCCUGAUCUAGCCAUGCCGCGUGAUCGAUGAAGGCCUUCGGGCUGUAAAGAUCUUUCAGGUGCGAAGAUAAUGACUGUACCCCCAGAAGAAGCCCCGGCUAACUCCGUGCCAGCAGCCGCGGUAAUACGGAGGGGGAUAGUGUUAUUCGGAAUUACUGGGCGCAAACCGCACGUAGGCGGACCAGAAAGUCAGACGUGAACGCCCGGGGCUCAACCCCCCGAACUGCCUUUGAAACUCCUGGUCUUGAGGCCCAGAGAGGCGAGUGGAAUUCCGAGUGUAGAGGUGAAA
Molecule: ribosomal RNA, 489 nt
Filed under: uncultured Paracoccaceae bacterium
Lineage: Bacteria; Pseudomonadati; Pseudomonadota; Alphaproteobacteria; Rhodobacterales; Paracoccaceae
Description: bacterial SSU rRNA
Rfam family: Bacterial small subunit ribosomal RNA
Source: RNAcentral